GUCAGGAUGGCCGAGCGGUCCAAGGCGCUGCGUUCAGGUCGCAGUCCACUUCGGUGGGCGUGGGUUCGAAUCCCACUUCUGACA
This is a non-coding RNA of Nephila pilipes (giant wood spider), 84 nucleotides long. NCBI's taxonomy places the organism in Eukaryota, Metazoa, Arthropoda, Arachnida, Araneae, Nephilidae. The record is from the annotation of a GenBank genome assembly.